This 482-nucleotide ribosomal RNA is filed under the name uncultured bacterium. RNAcentral's name for it is "partial 16S ribosomal RNA". It matches the Rfam family "Bacterial small subunit ribosomal RNA", at positions 30 to 507 of the family's 1533-position model. The record is from RNAcentral.
AUUGAACGCUGGCGGCAUGCUCUACACAUGCAAGUCGAACGGUAACAGGCCGCAAGGUGCUGACGAGUGGCGAACGGGUGAGUAAUGCAUCGGAACGUGCCCAGUCGUGGGGGAUAACUACUCGAAAGAGUAGCUAAUACCGCAUACGAUCUAUGGAUGAAAGCGGGGGACCGUAAGGCCUCGCGCGAUUGGAGCGGCCGAUGUCAGAUUAGGUAGUUGGUGGGGUAAAGGCUCACCAAGCCAACGAUCUGUAGCUGGUCUGAGAGGACGACCAGCCACACUGGGACUGAGACACGGCCCAGACUCCUACGGGAGGCAGCAGUGGGGAAUUUUGGACAAUGGGCGCAAGCCUGAUCCAGCAAUGCCGCGUGCAGGAAGAAGGCCUUCGGGUUGUAAAAUGCUUUUGUACGGAACGAAACGGCUCUGGUUAAUACCCGGGGCUAAUGACGGUACCGGAAGAAUAAGCACCGGCUAACUACGUG